AGAGUUUAAUCCUGGCUCAGGACGAACGCUGGCGGCACGCUUAACACAUGCAAGUCGAACGAGAGAAGAGGAGCUUGCUUUUCUGAUCUAGUGGCGGACGGGUGAGUAACACGUGAGCAAUCUGCCUUUCAGAGGGGGAUACCGAUUGGAAACGAUCGUUAAUACCGCAUAACAUAAUUGAACCGCAUGAUUUGAUUAUCAAAGAUUUAUCGCUGAAAGAUGAGCUCGCGUCUGAUUAGCUAGUUGGUAAGGUAACGGCUUACCAAGGCGACGAUCAGUAGCCGGACUGAGAGGUUGAUCGGCCACAUUGGGACUGAGACACGGCCCAGACUCCUACGGGAGGCAGCAGUGGGGAAUAUUGCACAAUGGAGGAAACUCUGAUGCAGCGAUGCCGCGUGAGGGAAGAAGGUUUUAGGAUUGUAAACCUCUGUCUUCAGGGACGAAAAAAGACGGUACCUGAGGAGGAAGCUCCGGCUAACUACGUGCCAGCAGCCGCGGUAAUACGUAGGGAGCGAGCGUUGUCCGGAAUUACUGGGUGUAAAGGGAGCGUAGGCGGGAUCGCAAGUCAGAUGUGAAAACUAUGGGCUUAACCCAUAAACUGCAUUUGAAACUGUGGUUCUUGAGUGAAGUAGAGGUAAGCGGAAUUCCUAGUGUAGCGGUGAAAUGCGUAGAUAUUAGGAGGAACAUCAGUGGCGAAGGCGGCUUACUGGGCUUUAACUGACGCUGAGGCUCGAAAGCGUGGGGAGCAAACAGGAUUAGAUACCCUGGUAGUCCACGCCGUAAACGAUGAUUACUAGGUGUGGGGGGACUGACCCCUUCCGUGCCGCAGCAAACGCAAUAAGUAAUCCACCUGGGGAGUACGACCGCAAGGUUGAAACUCAAAGGAAUUGACGGGGGCCCGCACAAGCAGUGGAGUAUGUGGAUUAAUUCGAAGCAACGCGAAGAACCUUACCAGGUCUUGACAUCGUAUGCAUAGCUCAGAGAUGAGUGAAAUCUCUUCGGAGACAUAUAGACAGGUGGUGCAUGGUUGUCGUCAGCUCGUGUCGUGAGAUGUUGGGUUAAGUCCCGCAACGAGCGCAACCCUUACUGUUAGUUGCUACGCAAGAGCACUCUAGCAGGACUGCCGUUGACAAAACGGAGGAAGGUGGGGAUGACGUCAAAUCAUCAUGCCCCUUAUGACCUGGGCCUCACACGUACUACAAUGGCUGUCAACAGAGGGAAGCAAAGCCGCGAGGUGGAGCGAACCCCUAAAAGCAGUCUUAGUUCGGAUUGUAGGCUGCAACCCGCCUACAUGAAGUCGGAAUUGCUAGUAAUCGCAGAUCAGCAUGCUGCGGUGAAUACGUUCCCGGGCCUUGUACACACCGCCCGUCACGCCAUGGGAGUCGGUAACACCCGAAGCCUGUAGUCUAACCGCAAGGAGGACGCAGUCGAAGGUGGGAUUGAUGACUGGGGUGAAGUCGUAACAAGGUA
This 1470-nucleotide ribosomal RNA is filed under the name metagenome. RNAcentral's name for it is "bacterial SSU rRNA". It matches the Rfam family "Bacterial small subunit ribosomal RNA". The record is from RNAcentral.